RNAcentral lists this small RNA (107 nucleotides) under Marmota monax (woodchuck). The record is from RNAcentral. Lineage: Eukaryota; Metazoa; Chordata; Mammalia; Rodentia; Sciuridae.
GCUGGGCAUAGUGGCACAUGCCUGUAAUCUCAGCAACCUGAGAAGCUGAGGCAGGAGGAUUGCAGUUUUGAGACCAGCCUUAGCAACUUAGUGAGAUCCUGUCUCAA